UGGUUCGGUAAUACGAUAUUAUCGAUUGCGUACGGAAAGGUCGGUCAAAGGGACGUCUGUCGGUGUAAGCUGAUCGUGGAUCAAAGUAGAAUUUUUGCUUUAAUGAGAGAAUAUUCCUUCGUAGAAUAGACUUCAUCGCAGAAUCUUUUUCGAGUCCAUCUUUUUUCACUCUCGAAAGGAUUCAACGCAGUCGAGAAAGAAAAAUAGGGAUCAAAUAAUUUCGUUGACCGUGUUCUUGGAUAUCGAAAUAAUGUUAAUUUUGAUUGCAUUUAGUAUUAAAAAUUAUAUAUGUAUCUUAAUAUGUAUUAGAAUAUAAGCGAGUGAGAUUAGGAACUAUAAGGAAAGGAAAGAUCUGUUAAUCGAUGUUGAAGAAGAAGUGGAAGAAGGAAGAGAUACGGAAGAUGAAGAAGAACAAGAGGGCGCCCUGUGGCCCUAUGUUAACCUCCCAAUGCGACAUACGGGGAAUGAAUUCCACCUGUCAAAGAAUGGCAAUAAAACUAGAUAUACAAAACUAAAUAAAAGGGAAAGCAGUUCCAAUACCUAGGAAGUAUUCAGAAGGACCUGAAUUAACCGAUAUCUGGAUUAUAAUUACUUCCAAAGAAGAUACAAGAAUUUUAACUACGCUCAACUUGAUAGUUAAAUAUGAGACAUCCAAAGAGAAACAUAUUUACCUGGUCUUCCUGUUCUUCUGUACAUCUGAUAACAAGUCCUACAUGGAUAAUACAAACGUCAGACCAUCAAUCAGAUCAAGAUUUUAUGAAAUCAACGAAAAUAUUACAAUUGUGAAGUGAAUUUAUUACGAAUCUUUCAAAUAUUAUGAAACCUAAGUUGGCCAGAGUGGCACCUAAUGAUCCGGAGUAUGGAAACGAAAUGUUGCUAUUGCUACGGCAUUACUAUAGCAACCAUCGACUUUUACAUUGGAUUUUAAUAAAUGAGCACAUUGGAUUGUCGGAAGAGUGGUUCGAGAAGUGGUUGGAAAAUCUAUUGAAAGAGACUGCACCGUUACUUAUUGCUGAGAGAUGAAGUACUCUUCAAUCUUCCGAUAUCAAUGUAUUGCAAUAUAACUUUACCAUAGUGGACGCAUUACUGGAUGAGGAUCAACGAAAGAACAAAUUUAAAUAUGUUCCACUUGGAUCGUCGAAUAUUUAAUUAUCACGCCAAGCGUACGCGAAAACCCGUAUUUUCCCUGGAAGUAUUAUAUUUAAGAUAUCGGUUAAUUCAGCUUCUUUGCUGUCAUUUUCAGGUAUUGGAAUUGCUUCCACCUUAAAUUCGUGUCAUGUAUCUCUACAUUAAUGUAUGUAAAAUUCGUAUAUUACUCAAUAUUCGUAGACUGGUUAAGAGUUAACUAAGUCAUUCGUUUAUUUCAAUUGUAUAAUUACUGAAAAUAAAUCAGGUAAUGCCAUUUAAAUGCUACAGCAACUUUUUCGAUACACAACAAAAUAAUAAUUAAAAUGAUAUAAAUCAAGAAAAUCAUUUUCAAUUCCUAAAUAUAGAAAUGAAAUUUUACAAUAAAUCUUAUAGUAAUGAGUACUGCUAAAUUUUAAAAAUAUUGAUGGAAUAAACGAAUGACUACUGUAAAUGAUGAAAUUAUUUUCGUCGUUUGUAUUAUUUGUAAAGAUAUUCUUUGGGAUGUAUGAAGUCUACGGCUAGAGAUUAUUUCUCGUAUGGCACUAACUUGCAUAUAUUACUGGUUCAAAAACCAUCGAAGGAAUGACUUCCCAUCCCGAAAUUAUUCGAGUCCUCCCAUUAGAGAACCCAGCUUCGUAGAUUUUAGAUCUCUAGCUAGAACGGUGAAUAAUUUCUCCUAUUUAUGUACUUAUAUUUUUAUUUCCACUAUGUAUACAAGAAAUUAUCUCAUAAAUCUGAAAAUCUUCUAAUGAAAUUAACAAUUAUUCAUCUCGUUUUUAAUUGUAAUAAUCACGUAAAACUGUAAUUACGUAUAAUAUAAUUAAUUAUUAUUAAUUGUUAUUAUAAUGAUAAUUCCAAUAAUAAUAAUUAUUGUAAUUAUUAACGUCAUAUUGAAUUGAUUGCUAUGAAAUUAUUCGUUAAUUCGUAUACGAAAUUUGUAAUGUUUCUUCUUUUCUUGUUUCAAGUUAUGCUUAAAAAUAGUGUUCUAAUAUUAUCAGAUAUUAAUGAUAUUAUAAUUUUCGUAUUACGUAAUUCUUAUUGUAGAAUCUUCUGUCGUAAAAAAAUUUUUUCGUGGGAAGUUAUAUCUACUUCAAUAUCCCUUGCAAACAUUUUUUCCAAAUUCUUUGGAGUAAACAAAACUUCUUUUCUUGUAAACAAAUACAUAUUGCCUAAGUUAUCGAAGAAUUCAUUUCCGUUAUUUUACAAUAAUAUUAUAUAAUGAAAAUGUGUAUUCCAAAAAAUAAUAAAAAACAUGUACUCAAAGAAAA
This is a long non-coding RNA of Vespula vulgaris, 2396 nucleotides long. RefSeq lists it as uncharacterized. The record is from RefSeq and is a predicted model, not a curated record. NCBI's taxonomy places the organism in Eukaryota, Metazoa, Arthropoda, Insecta, Hymenoptera, Vespidae. The transcript is spliced from 6 exons.